This 352-nucleotide transfer-messenger RNA is filed under the name Peptoniphilaceae. RNAcentral's name for it is "Peptoniphilus_A raoultii Standard tmRNA". It matches the Rfam family "transfer-messenger RNA". From Rfam's summary of the family: Bacterial tmRNA, also known as 10Sa RNA or SsrA, is named for its dual tRNA and mRNA-like properties. Lineage: Bacteria; Bacillati; Bacillota; Tissierellia; Tissierellales. The record is from RNAcentral. RNAcentral also lists the same sequence under 1 other name.
GGGGGCGAAAUUGGCUUCGACAGGGAUUUUGAGCUUUAAGUAGCGAGCCGCUAUUGGAUCAUAUAGCGUUAAACAGGUCCAAAAAAAUAAACGACGAAAAUAAUUUCGCAUUUGCAGCCUAAGUAAAGGCUACUAUCCGACUUGAGUCUCCCGCAGCUUGAGAAGGGUAUCAAAUUAAGCGGGGAACCGCACCAGACUAGGCACCAUAAUCUGGGACGGAAUUUAUGAUGCUAGCGGUUAUUUUUUUGACUAUUUAGUUAAUAAUCGUGAAAAUUAAAAAAUAGUCUGCACUCGGAGAAACUUUUUGCAGACGAAUCUUUGGACGUGGGUUCGACACCCACCGCCUCCACCA